GGUGUAGCAGACAAAUAAAAAUAGCUGUAACCCGAGUUUACAUCGUAACAAAAUACAGAGAGUCACACUAGCCUAUUUAGCCACCUAAGUAUAUGGCGUGCAGUUAGCUAGCAAGAGCCAGCUCAGAAAAGGCCGACACUUCAAAUACAGGCAACCACACCUAGACCUACCCUAGACCUCACAGCUUAACCCAGCGGGCCGGCAAAGGUAUUCCUCUUUACUUCCAUCGCCUCGACCCGUCCGGUUACAAGCCACGCCAAGGACGUCACGGCCCAGCCCAGCAAUCACUGAGUUUCGGAGCCAGCCUCUGGGGGGAGCCAGCCUAGAGCGGCCCUGGAAAGCGUACAGGCCGUUUCGGAAACGGAAGCGGACUGACGUCAUCGACAAGACGCCUCCGGAGGAAGGGCGGGGUGCGAUUCUUGCCAAGUUAUUUUAUCACUGAAACUCGCACUUCAUUCAUAAUGGAGACAUAAAUCUUGAGAUUUUUUAUGUGAAAUUAUGUAUGUACUUACUUACAAAUGCCUGUAUUUUUAAAUAAGGAAAAUGAAGUUCAGAAAAAUUAUAUACAGUUCUGUGGAAGCAGAUCCAGUUCUGUAUACUGAAGAUAUUAAUGGAAGAUAUUAAUUCACCUCUCAGUUCCAUGAGGUUCUGUUGUGCCUAUCUGGCUCAUUAUCGUUUUUCCAGCACCUGGUUAUACCAGUUUCAAUAAAUAAUUCACUGAAGAAAUGAACGCAAGCUUCGUAACCCCCUAAAUGGGUUAGGUAGUUGCAGGGCAGAGUGCAUAGUUUUUAAUAAAAAAUCAAGUAUGUUAAUUUAUUGCAACCCUAUGAAUUAAGUGCUACUUUUAUGGAAGAGGAAACUGGGACUCUAAGGUAAGAAAUGGAACUUAGAAUUGAACUUGGAAUUCAUGCAGAGAGUUACAACAAAAUCAGAGAGGAAAAGUACCUAAUCAUAGUUUCACUGACUUUGAGUAGAUUGUUCAUGCAGCUUUGUAAUCCUAUUAUAUUUCCCUAUACCAUCCUCAAGUUUUAGUGUAUAUCAGAAUCACUUGAAGGGCUUGUUAAAACAGUUAAAAGUCUGGUGCCACUGCCAGAGUUUUUGAUUCAGGUAGAUUCCAGUGGGGUCCAAAAUUUUGCAUUUCUCACUAGUUCCUAAAUGAUGUUGAUACUGCUGGACUCAGGACCACACUUUGAGAACUAGUGCCCUGACUCCUUCACAUUUGGACUAUUUCACACUUUGCUUUCCAAAAAAUGACCAGUAUUUCCUCCCCCUCAUUUGAUGACUUUAUUUUCAUUGAGGAAAUAGCUGAAACAUAACUUCUACAUAUUUUUACCCUAUCUGUGGUUUGGUAACUGUAUGUGUACUUACAUUUUAUAUCUUCUCUUGUGUUACAUAUGCAGCAAAUCCCACCCUUCUUGCUUACACAGUCAUCACUCCUCUCCACUGUUUCAUCAGGCUUUUCCCCCCAUCACUGGAUUAUGCCCAACAGCAUUGAGCAGGCUGUUUUUGUAUCUCAUCUUUACAAGACAACAAAACAAGACUCUUCCCAUGAUCUCCGAUCUUCCUCUAGUUCAUUACUAUUUCCCUUGAUAUAGAAAUUCUUGAGAGGAUUGUUUGUGCUCACCAUCUCUAGGACUUCUUUGCCACCCUCCAGUAUCUACUCUUCUGCCACCCUGGUCCAACCCACUAUUGUCUUUAACCUUUGUUAUGGCAAUAGCCUCCUAACUGAUCCCUCUCUUAUAAUCCAGUCUUAAUACAGUAGCCUUAGCAUACUGUUACACAGAUAGAACAUAUGCUUCAAAGGGACACAAUAACUUGCAUAUACUAGCAUUAGAAAUUCUCAUACAUUUUCAGUGUACCAUCAGAAUUAGUUAAUAUUUACAUAGUACUUAUGUGCCAGAUACCAUAUUAAAUGUUUUACAUGUCAAGAAUUAUUUCUAAUCUUUUCACAGAUGAGGAAAACUGAAAUUUCAAGAGAUGAAGCAAUUUAGGCAACACUGGUGGAGCCAGAACCCAGGGAGCAGGGCUGGGACUUGAGAGACCAGUGAAGGACCCCAGGAGACUUGUCUGUCUCACUCUAGUGCUGGUCGUGACAGGCAAUCUUAACCCCUUGCUCUUAGCUGAUAUACCAUUUUAUCUCCAGUCUAUCAUAAGCAGUUCAAGAACUAGCACCUUGUCACUUAGUAGGGUCUAACUUAGUAGGGUUUUAACUUUUUGAAAUUUCUUCAUAUCACACAAUUCUAAGAUUAUACAUCACUUUCUCAAGGCUUUUCCUGACCCCACAAAUUUUUCCCCUUGUUUUUUCAUUGCACUUUUCUACUUGCCUUACUGAAAGCAUAAUUUAUAGUAUAAAAGCUGGGACUUUAAAGUCAGAUAUUUUGAAUUCUGAGACUAUAUUUAAAGGCUGAAUUAUUUUGAGUAAAUUUUCCUUAUCUGUAAAAAUGAGUUAAUGAUAGUACCUGUAACUUAGUUGUUUAAGUAAUUAAUGUAAACUGUAUACUGUUUGGCACAGAGUGGGUAUUUGGUCCUAUUUGGUAAAAGAUUAGGUCCUGCUUUAAGAAGCAUAUUGGGUAGCAUAUCUCAAGCUAAUUUCUUCAGAAACUAGGUAGAAAUAGUUGGCUGUACAUCUCCAUUUCCCAUGUUUUAAAAGUUAAUGGUACACACAGUCUAUAAUCAAUAUGGUUUCUAAAUUUUAUUGCUUAGGGAACAAGUACACAUUUUCUCAAGUAUAUUAGGACUUAUUAAAUAGCAAGUGACAGAAACCAAACUCAAACUGGCUUAGACAAGAAAGGGGAACUUAUUAGAGGGAUAUCAGGGUAUUACAUGUAUUUGAACAACCAAUAAAUGCUACAGGCAAACCUAUAGCUGAACCUCAGGGACAACUGAGACAGAAAUCUGAACAUCUCCAGAAACUGGUCUUAUUUCUGUAUAUGAGUUUCACUCUCUCCCAUGAUAGCCUGGCUUCCUUUAUAUGAAAGGAUAUGGCCACCAUCAAUUCCAGAGCUUCUUAUCUAUCAAAGUCCACCACCAGAAAGGAUUUGAUGCAGGUUAGUUCAUAAAUGCAAAAACCUUCGAGAAUAGUUGUGACUGGCCUAUUUGAAAGUUAGAUACCCUUCUCUAAGCUUGAGUGAGGUGUCUCCUUUAGGAUAACGAGCUGCAGCCAGAAGAGCGAGUCUGUAAAAAUAUGGCAGCUUCCAUUCAAAUCACAUGACUGGAGAAAAGCAACUAUUUUCUAGAAAGGAAACCUAUCUACACUACAAUAGGCAGUGCUAUAUGUAAUACUUAUCAAAUAAGCCACUCUUUUCUAAGAGGACAGAAAAUGAACUUUAUGCCCUAAGCCUAUUUUUCAUAAUACAGCCAAAUAUAUGACAUGCCAAUGUAUGUCUUAACCUUUUGUUGAACUAAGAUUUGGUUAAACAAUAUACCUAACCCUCUUAGACACUGCUGGUGGGAAUGUAAAUUGGUACAGUCACUAUGGAAAGCAGUAUGGAGGUUCCUCAAGAAACUAAAUGUACAAAUACCAUAACUCCACUUGUAGGA
Molecule: long non-coding RNA, 3540 nt
Organism: Manis javanica (Malayan pangolin)
Lineage: Eukaryota; Metazoa; Chordata; Mammalia; Pholidota; Manidae
Source: RefSeq, a predicted model, not a curated record